UACGGGAGGCAGCAGUGGGGAAUAUUGCACAAUGGGCGAAAGCCUGAUGCAGCUAUGCCGCGUGUAUGAAGAAGGCCUUAGGGUUGUAAAGUACUUUCAUCGGGGAGGAAAAACAAAACUAAUAAUUUUAUUUCUUGACGUUACCCGAAAAAGAAGCACCGGCUAACUCCGUGCCAGCAGCCGCGGUAAUACGGAGGGUGCUAGCGUUAAUCAGAAUUACUGGGCGUAAAGAGCACGUAGGUGGUUUUUUUAAGUUCAGAUGUGAAUCCCUGGGCUUAACCUAGGAACUGCAUUUUGAAACUGAAAUACUAGAGUAUCGUAGAGGGAGGUAGAAUUCUAGGUGUAGCGGUGAAAUGCGUAGAUAUCUGGAGGAAUACCUGUGGCGAAAGCGGCCUCCUAAACGAAUACUGACACUGAGGGUGCGAAAGCGUGGGGAGGCAAACAGGGAUUAGAUACC
RNAcentral lists this ribosomal RNA (457 nucleotides) under uncultured bacterium. RNAcentral describes it as "bacterial SSU rRNA". It matches the Rfam family "Bacterial small subunit ribosomal RNA", at positions 340 to 786 of the family's 1533-position model. The record is from RNAcentral.